Molecule: long non-coding RNA, 740 nt
Filed under: Ficedula albicollis (Collared flycatcher)
Lineage: Eukaryota; Metazoa; Chordata; Aves; Passeriformes; Muscicapidae
Description: lncRNA (ENSFALG00000025004.1)
Source: RNAcentral
CCUUUGGGGACACUUGCUGAGCCCUUUCCUUGCCCUUUUCUGACUUCCCAGGAAUGUGCCAAGUGCCUGUCAGCUUUGUCCAUUACUUCAGAAAUCACUUGUGGGAGUUACCAAGGACACCAACAACAUCUCAGCACUCUGAUUUUGCAGUUACAGUGUCCUGCAAGAACAGAAUAUUCCCAUCAUUACAGGAGGCUACAGAUUUUGAGGAGAACCUGCUGAGUUCAGCCUGUAGUAACUUUGUGGAUGAGGAUGAGCCCUGCCCACCUUUGCUCCUCACAGCAGUGCUUCAGCCAAGCAGUUGGAGUCCUGACAAUCCAGUGGUCCCAGCCAGUUUACCAUUUAUACUGGAGAGACACCAGGCAACCUGGCAACUGGAACCGAAAUCAAGCAGAGGACAAAGCAGGAGAAGCAACUGAUUAAAGGGCCAUGAAUAAUUUAUAUUAACUCAAAAGUCAGCUCAGCACAGCAUCAGAUAGGGAGGUAAAACCCCCUUGGCAGAGCCCUCCUGGGCACUUCGUGCAAGAGGCCUCAGCAAUCAGCUCCCUGCAGGGACAUUUCUCCACCCCAGGGAGGCCCUAGCCACUUAAACAAUUUGCAUUCCAUCACUGCAGUUCAAUUAGGUGCUUUUCCUAAUGGCACAUGACAAAUGUGCUUCACACCUUGCUUCCAGAAGGGAAGAGUGUCAAACAUUUGACACUUCCACGUGUAUUUCCCUAAGCUUCAAACCUCAGCUGUUA